GAUGAAGAACGCAGCGAAAUGCGAUAAGUAAUGUGAAUUGCAGAAUUCAGUGAAUCAUCGAAUCUUUGAACGCACAUUGCGCCCGCUGGUAUUCCGGCGGGCAUGCCUGUUCGAGCGUCAUUUCAACCCUCAAGCCCCCGGGUUUGGUGUUGGGGAUCGGCUCUGCCUUACGGCGGUGCCGCCCCCGAAAUACAUUGGCGGUCUCGCUGCAGCCUCCAUUGCGUAGUAGCUAACACCUCGCAACUGGAACGCGGCGCGGCCAUGCCGUAAAACCCCAACUUCUGAAUGUUGACCUCGGAUCAGGUAGGAAUACCCGCUGAACUUAAGCAUAUCAAUAAGCGGAGGA
RNAcentral lists this unclassified non-coding RNA (346 nucleotides) under soil metagenome. RNAcentral describes it as "partial contains 5.8S ribosomal RNA, internal transcribed spacer 2, and large subunit ribosomal RNA". The stretch from base 1 to 120 matches the Rfam family "5.8S ribosomal RNA", at positions 35 to 154 of the family's 154-position model. The record is from RNAcentral.